Molecule: ribosomal RNA, 502 nt
Filed under: uncultured bacterium
Lineage: Bacteria
Description: bacterial SSU rRNA
Rfam family: Bacterial small subunit ribosomal RNA
Source: RNAcentral
GCAGUCGAACGAGCGAGAGGGAGCUUGCUUUCUCGAGCGAGUGGCGAACGGGUGAGUAACGCGUGAGGAACCUGCCUCAAAGAGGGGGACAACAGUUGGAAACGACUGCUAAUACCGCAUAAGCCCACGGGUCGGCAUCGACCAGAGGGAAAAGGAGCAAUCCGCUUUGAGAUGGCCUCGCGUCCGAUUAGCUAGUUGGUGAGGUAACGGCCCACCAAGGCAACGAUCGGUAGCCGGACUGAGAGGUUGAACGGCCACAUUGGGACUGAGACACGGCCCAGACUCCUACGGGAGGCAGCAGUGGGGAAUAUUGCACAAUGGGGGAAACCCUGAUGCAGCGACGCCGCGUGGAGGAAGAAGGUCUUCGGAUUGUAAACUCCUGUUGUUGAGGAAGAUAAUGACGGUACUCAACAAGGAAGUGACGGCUAACUACGUGCCAGCAGCCGCGGUAAAACGUAGGUCACAAGCGUUGUCCGGAUUUACUGGGUGUAAAGGGCGUGUA